GAUGAACGCUGGCGGCGUGCCUAAUACAUGCAAGUCGAGCGAACGGACGAGAAGCUUGCUUCUCUGAUGUUAGCGGCGGACGGGUGAGUAACACGUGGAUAACCUACCUAUAAGACUGGGAUAACUUCGGGAAAGCGGAGCUAAUACCGGAUAAUAUUUUGAACCGCAUGGUUCAAAAGUGAAAGACGGUCUUGCUGUCACUUCUAGAUGGAUCCGCGCUGCAUUAGCUAGUUGGUAAGGUAACGGCUUACCAAGGCAACGAUGCAUAGCCGACCUGAGAGGGUGAUCGGCCACACUGGAACUGAGACACGGUCCAGACUCCUACGGGAGGCAGCAGUAGGGAAUCUUCCGCAAUGGGCGAAAGCCUGACGGAGCAACGCCGCGUGAGUGAUGAAGGUCUUCGGAUCGUAAAACUCUGUUAUUAGGGAAGAACAUAUGUGUAAGUAACUGUGCACAUCUUGACGGUACCUAAUCAGAAAGCCACGGCUAACUACGUG
This 497-nucleotide ribosomal RNA is filed under the name uncultured bacterium. RNAcentral describes it as "partial 16S ribosomal RNA". It matches the Rfam family "Bacterial small subunit ribosomal RNA", at positions 28 to 507 of the family's 1533-position model. The record is from RNAcentral.